RNAcentral lists this ribosomal RNA (402 nucleotides) under uncultured bacterium. RNAcentral describes it as "bacterial SSU rRNA". It matches the Rfam family "Bacterial small subunit ribosomal RNA", at positions 355 to 774 of the family's 1533-position model. The record is from RNAcentral.
UGGGGGAUAUUGCACAAUGGGGGAAACCCUGAUGCAGCAACGCCGCGUGAGUGAAGAAGUAUUUCGGUAUGUAAAGCUCUAUCAGCAGGAAAGAAAAUGACGGUACCUGACUAAGAAGCCCCGGCUAACUACGUGCCAGCAGCCGCGGUAAUACGUAGGGGGCAAGCGUUAUCCGGAUUUACUGGGUGUAAAGGGAGCGUAGACGGUUUUGCAAGUCUGAAGUGAAAGCCCGGGGCUUAACCCCGGGACUGCUUUGGAAACUGUAGGACUAGAGUGCAGGAGAGGUAAGUGGAAUUCCUAGUGUAGCGGUGAAAUGCGUAGAUAUUAGGAGGAACACCAGUGGCGAAGGCGGCUUACUGGACUGUAACUGACGUUGAGGCUCGAAAGCGUGGGGAGCAAACA